Molecule: ribosomal RNA, 480 nt
Filed under: uncultured bacterium
Lineage: Bacteria
Description: bacterial SSU rRNA
Rfam family: Bacterial small subunit ribosomal RNA
Source: RNAcentral
AUUGAACGCUGGCGGCAUGCUUUACACAUGCAAGUCGAACGGUAACAGGGAGCUUGCUCCGCUGACGAGUGGCGAACGGGUGAGUAAUGCAUCGGAACGUGCCGUGUAAGUGGGGGAUAACGUAGCGAAAGUUACGCUAAUACCGCAUACGCCCUGAGGGGGAAAGCGGGGGAUCGUAAGACCUCGCGUUAUACGAGCGGCCGAUGUCGGAUUAGCUAGUUGGUGGGGUAAAGGCCUACCAAGGCGACGAUCUGUAGUUGGUCUGAGAGGACGACCAGCCACACUGGGACUGAGACACGGCCCAGACUCCUACGGGAGGCAGCAGUGGGGAAUUUUGGACAAUGGGCGCAAGCCUGAUCCAGCAAUGCCGCGUGAAGGAAGAAGGCGCUACGCGUUGUAAACUUCUUUUGGGUGGGACGAAAAUAAUCCAUUUAUGGAUAGCUGACGGUACCAUCAGAAUAAGCACCGGCUAACUCCGUG